RNAcentral lists this long non-coding RNA (363 nucleotides) under Mytilus galloprovincialis (Mediterranean mussel). The record is from RNAcentral. Lineage: Eukaryota; Metazoa; Mollusca; Bivalvia; Mytilida; Mytilidae.
GCCACCCUUAAAAAAUUGUUUGUUUGGCAUUGCCGACCCACACUAUCAGCAGGUGGGUAGGUAGGUAGGGAUUUUUUUUUUUUUUACAUUUAAAAGCUUUAUAAACUGUAAAUUAUGAAGUCUCUAGAUCAAUGUUGUCUAAAGCAUUGCAGCAUUGUUGUGUGUACAUGCUGGUAGUUUCUUUGAAAGGGGUCAAUGUCACAUUCUACAUCAUGGAUAAUUUCAUGUAAGACAGUCAGUUUUAUUGGCAGAGUUAACCAAAGUACCCAGAAAAAAACACAGAACUGAGGCAGGAAACUGACAAAUUAACCAUAUCAAAUGUAUGACGUGAAAAUUGAUCUUUUAUUGUGGGACUGCCCACUG